AGCCACAGCCAUAUCACCCUGCAGCCCAAGACUGGUUGCCCACUGAAGCUAAGCAGGGUUGAGCCUGUUCAGUACCUGGAUGGGAGACCUCCUGGGAAAACUAGGUUGCUGUUGGAA
Molecule: ribosomal RNA, 117 nt
Filed under: Sinocyclocheilus grahami
Lineage: Eukaryota; Metazoa; Chordata; Actinopteri; Cypriniformes; Cyprinidae
Source: RNAcentral